ACUCUUCACAUGCCAUGUAGUUUUAUACCUCCAUGCUUUUUUUCACAGUUCUAGUCUCCUAGAAUGUCCUCCCAAACCCCAAAUAUAGGUUCCCCAGUGCUACCCAUUCUUUAGAACUCCAGUCUCUGACACCUUUCCUUUUCCUAUAGCUCAAUCUAUGAGCAUCUUCUCUCCUAGCUGUGUGUUCUGAAACCUCUCCUGGUUCACUCAUCAACUUUUUCCUACCCUUUGAUGGCUGCAUAUUCCUGGGCCUAUUUGUUAAAAGCACUGAGACCAGAAUAUAAGGAGAUCACAAUGCAGAAACCUCCAACUGUGAAUGGGCUCCUCUGAUCUUUCUUAGGACUAUUUCACUAUUAUUUUGUAGCGUUCAAAAGGAUGAAAAAUUUGUACCCGUUUAAGGAUAGCUAGCUAUAUGGUCUGCUCAUUAAAAAUUAAAAUUCGCCUUCAUUCUGAACACACAUGACAUAAGAGUAACAUUCAUUACUGAUCUUGGUAGGGAAAUGUGUGUGUGUGUGUGUGUUUUCACAUCGAAACCUUUCCCAUAGAGGUAGUCAACUUUUUGCAGUAACUUAACACAAUGGCAAGAACUGAAGACCUUUAGGGGAAAUAUA
Marmota monax (woodchuck) is the source of this 611-nucleotide long non-coding RNA. RefSeq lists it as uncharacterized. Lineage: Eukaryota; Metazoa; Chordata; Mammalia; Rodentia; Sciuridae. The record is from RefSeq and is a predicted model, not a curated record. The transcript is spliced from 3 exons.